Molecule: ribosomal RNA, 347 nt
Filed under: uncultured Pseudomonadota bacterium
Lineage: Bacteria; Pseudomonadati; Pseudomonadota
Description: bacterial SSU rRNA
Rfam family: Bacterial small subunit ribosomal RNA
Source: RNAcentral
CCUAGUAGAAGGGGAUAGCCCGAGGAAACUCGGAUUAAUACCGUAUACCUCCUUCGGGAGAAAGAAGGCCUCUCUUUGAAGCUUUCGCUACUAGAUGAGCCUGCGUAAGAUUAGCUUGUUGGUGAGGUAAAGGCUCACCAAGGCUACGAUCUUUAGCGGGUCUGAGAGGACGAUCCGCCACAUUGGGACUGAGACACGGCCCAGACUCCUACGGGAGGCUGCAGCAGGGAAUAUUGUGCAAUGAGCGAAAGCUUGACACAGCGACACCGCGUGUGGGAUGACGGUUCUAGGAUUGUAAACCACUUUCAGGAGGGAAGAAAAUGACGGUACCUCCAUAAGAAGACCCG